This 497-nucleotide ribosomal RNA is filed under the name uncultured bacterium. RNAcentral's name for it is "partial 16S ribosomal RNA". It matches the Rfam family "Bacterial small subunit ribosomal RNA", at positions 28 to 507 of the family's 1533-position model. The record is from RNAcentral.
GACGAACGCUGGCGGCGUGCCUAAUACAUGCAAGUUGAGCGCUGAAGGUUGGUACUUGUACCAACUGGAUGAGCAGCGAACGGGUGAGUAACGCGUGGGGAAUCUGCCUUUGAGCGGGGGACAACAUUUGGAAACGAAUGCUAAUACCGCAUAAAAACUUUAAACACAAGUUUUAAGUUUGAAAGAUGCAAUUGCAUCACUCAAAGAUGAUCCCGCGUUGUAUUAGCUAGUUGGUGAGGUAAAGGCUCACCAAGGCGAUGAUACAUAGCCGACCUGAGAGGGGGAUCGGCCACAGUGGGACUGAGACACGGCCCAAACUCCUACGGGAGGCAGCAGUAGGGAAUCUUCGGCAAUGGACGAAAGUCUGAACGAGCAACGCCGCGUGAGUGAAGAAGGUUUUCGGAUCGUAAAACUCUGUUGGUAGAGAAGAACGUUGGUGAGAGUGGAAAGCUCAUCAAGUGACGGUAACUACCCAGAAAGGGACGGCUAACUACGUG